UAUUGACUUGCUGGCCACUUUUGAGUGGAAAGAUAUCUUGACGUUUGUUUGUUGUUUCCGAUGCUCCAGAAUUAUGCUUAGCUUAAAUCAACUACACUGUCUUGAAGCGGAGUGUCCAAUGGAAGAAGAUUCACCAAAAACCAAUAUAACGAUUGCUGUGGAAGGUAACAUUGGAAGUGGGAAAACAACUUUGUUAAAUUUUUUUAGAGACAAUCCCCUAGUAGAAGUAUUAGAAGAACCAGUGGCUAAAUGGCAAAAUGUUGGAGGGAAAAACCUUUUGGUAAGUUGAUGAGGUGUACCAGCUACAGCUCUAGUACUCACUGCUUGAGCUCUAGUUUGUAACCCCAUUGGCCA
Orbicella faveolata is the source of this 354-nucleotide long non-coding RNA. Lineage: Eukaryota; Metazoa; Cnidaria; Anthozoa; Scleractinia; Merulinidae. The record is from RefSeq and is a predicted model, not a curated record.